UACGGAGGAUCCAAGCGUUAUCCGGAUUUAUUGGGUUUAAAGGGUGCGUAGGUGGGAUAAUAAGUCAGAGGUGAAAGCUAGCAGCUUAACUGUUAAAUUGCCUUUGAUACUGUUAUUCUUGAGUAUAGUUGGCGUUGGCGGAAUGUGACAUGUAGCGGUGAAAUGCGUAGAUAUGUCACAGAACACCGAUCGCGAAGGCAGCUAACGAAACUAUCACUGACACUGAUGCACGAAAGCUAGGGGAGCGAAUGGG
This 253-nucleotide ribosomal RNA is filed under the name uncultured bacterium. RNAcentral's name for it is "partial 16S ribosomal RNA". It matches the Rfam family "Bacterial small subunit ribosomal RNA", at positions 524 to 776 of the family's 1533-position model. The record is from RNAcentral.